RNAcentral lists this ribosomal RNA (441 nucleotides) under uncultured bacterium. RNAcentral's name for it is "partial 16S ribosomal RNA". It matches the Rfam family "Bacterial small subunit ribosomal RNA", at positions 338 to 795 of the family's 1533-position model. The record is from RNAcentral.
CCUACGGGAGGCAGCAGUGGGGGAUAUUGCACAAUGGGGGGAACCCUGAUGCAGCGACGCCGCGUGGGUGAAGGAGUGCUUCGGCAUGUAAAGCCCUAUCGGCAGGGAAGAAGCAAGACGGUACCUGACUAAGAAGCCCCGGCUAACUACGUGCCAGCAGCCGCGGUAAUACGUAGGGGGCGAGCGUUAUCCGGAUUCACUGGGUGUAAAGGGAGCGUAGACGGCCAUGCAAGCCAGGGGUGAAAGCCCGGGGCCCAACCCCGGGACUGCCCUUGGAACUGCAUGGCUGGAGUGCGGGAGGGGCAGGCGGAAUGACUGGUGUAGCGGUGGAAUGCGUAGAUAUCAGGAGGAACACCGGCGGCGAAGGCGGCCUGCUGGACCGCGACUGACGUUGAGGCUCGAAAGCGUGGGGAGCGAACAGGAUUAGAUACCCUUGUAGUC